Non-coding RNA from Rhodobacteraceae bacterium GWF1_65_7, 53 nucleotides. Lineage: Bacteria; Pseudomonadati; Pseudomonadota; Alphaproteobacteria; Rhodobacterales; Paracoccaceae. The record is from Rfam.
GCAGCGGACCGGGCCCCUCUGACGCGACAAUCGCGUGAUGUCGGACCGCAUCG